CUCAACCCUUUAUUCUUUCUUCAUUCAUCAAUUUCUUCUUCAAAAUCCUCAACAAUGUUCUUCUACAACCUUUUCUCCCGUUUCUCAACAACCAUUUCCUGAACCUCACUUCUCUCUACUCAGCGAAUUCCCCAACAACAAUUCCAUAACUUCUCCAAUCAAUUUCAUUCCCUAAUCAUUCCUCAAUCUACCAACAAGGUUCAUUUCUAAACUUGCUAAUCAAUUUUCAUUUUUUCCUAUUUUUUCAUGUUGUAGGAUUUUUCUAGGGUUUUAUGUUUAAGCUCAGAAUUUGUUAGGCUUAUGAUAAAAAAACAUUAUAUAUUGUAUUUGCAUAUUGUUUAGUGUUGCAUUCUAGAUUAGCUACCUUAAUUGUUGCUUUCUAUGAAGCACAGACUCUAACACGUCGACACCAAUAAUAAUUUGAAAAAUUAACAUAAUUUAAUGUAAUCAUAAGUUUUGGUGUCGUGUCGGCGACACCUACAUGUGUCCGACACCGGGACACGCUUAAUCCGAGGAGUGUCUGUGCUUCAUAUAAUGCUUUAGCAUGUUGUUUCUGGUUUUUAAUCUGUUUUAGUAAUUCCUUUUGAAUUCCAAUGUUUAGAAUGAAUAAAAAAAACUAUCUGAAUGUCAUUUUUGGGUUUAGAAAAGUAGC
This 652-nucleotide long non-coding RNA is filed under the name Trifolium pratense (red clover). RNAcentral's name for it is "long non-coding RNA (TPRA_LNC001798)". The record is from RNAcentral. Lineage: Eukaryota; Viridiplantae; Streptophyta; Magnoliopsida; Fabales; Fabaceae.